GCCCUGGUGGCCAAGCGGUAAGGCGCGUCACUCGUAAUGACGAGAUCGCCGGUUCAAUUCCGGUCCAGGGCA
Non-coding RNA from Tricharina praecox, 72 nucleotides. NCBI's taxonomy places the organism in Eukaryota, Fungi, Ascomycota, Pezizomycetes, Pezizales, Pyronemataceae. The record is from the annotation of a RefSeq genome assembly.